RNAcentral lists this ribosomal RNA (253 nucleotides) under uncultured bacterium. Its description in RNAcentral is "partial 16S ribosomal RNA". It matches the Rfam family "Bacterial small subunit ribosomal RNA", at positions 524 to 776 of the family's 1533-position model. The record is from RNAcentral.
UACGUAGGUGGCGAGCGUUGUCCGGAUUUACUGGGCGUAAAGGGAGCGUAGGCGGGCUUUUAAGUGAGAUGUGAAAUACUCGGGCUCAACUUGAGUGCUGCAUUUCAAACUGGAAGUCUAGAGUGCAGGAGAGGAGAGUGGAAUUCCUAGUGUAGCGGUGAAAUGCGUAGAGAUUAGGAAGAACACCAGUGGCGAAGGCGGUUCUCUGGACUGUAACUGACGCUGAGGCUCGAAAGCGUGGGGAGCAAACAGG